RNAcentral lists this ribosomal RNA (843 nucleotides) under uncultured bacterium. RNAcentral's name for it is "bacterial SSU rRNA". It matches the Rfam family "Bacterial small subunit ribosomal RNA", at positions 46 to 896 of the family's 1533-position model. The record is from RNAcentral.
GCAUCGGAAUACAUGCAGUCGAACGAGGUGCUUUUGUAGCAAUACGAGGGUAUCCUAGUGGCGAACGGGUGAGUAACGCGUUGGUGACCUGCCCCAAAGUGUGGGAUAACAGUCCGAAAGGAUUGCUAAUACCACAUGUGGUCCUCGGAUUUAGAAACCGAUGACUAAAGCAGCAAUGCGCUUUGGGAGGGACCUGCGUCCCAUCAGCUAGUUGGUGAGGUAACGGCCCACCAAGGCUACGACGGGUAGGGGACCUGAGAGGGUGGCCCCCCACAAUGGAACUGAAACACGGUCCAUACACCUACGGGUGGCAGCAGUAGGGAAUAUUGCACAAUGGGCGAAAGCCUGAUGCAGCAACGCCGCGUGAGCGAUGAAGGCCUUCGGGUCGUAAAGCUCUUUUCUGGGAGAUGAGAAAGGACAGUAUCCCAGGAAUAAGUCUCGGCUAACUACGUGCCAGCGGCCGCGGUAACACGUAGGAGGCGAGCGUUAUCCGGAUUCACUGGGCGUAAAGCGCGUGCAGGCGGUUCGGUAAGUUGGGCGUGAAAUCUCCCGGCUCAACUGGGAGAGGUCGUCCAAUACUACCGGACUUGAGAGCGAUAGAGGAAAAUGGAAUUCCCGGUGUAGUGGUGAAAUGCGUAGAUAUCGGGAGGAACACCAGUGGCGAAAGCGAUUUUCUGGAUCGUUUCUGACGCUCAGACGCGAAAGCUAGGGUAGCAAACGGGAUUAGAGACCCCGGUAGUCCUAGCUGUAAACGAUGUGAACUUGGCGUUGGUGGCUUAAACUCCAUCAGUGCCGAAGCUAACGCGAUAAGUUCACCGCCUGGGGACUACGGCCGCAAGGUUA